AUUUGAGUACUCAUACAUAAUUUUUGGAGUUCGGGAAGGGUUCCAACCGGAUAGGAUAAGUCAUGAAAACGUUACUGUCAGAAGGACUAGCGCCCAAGGGUAACUUACUCUUUCUUUUCAAGACAAAACGUUGGAACCACAUGGGAAUUGCGUGGAAAGGUAGGGAAUCUGAUCCAGAUCCAACAUUUUGGUCCCUUGAGCAUGAGAGGAGCAUGGGAAGACCUACUUUACAAAAUUAAAUGGUUGUUUGUGAUGGGGAGGGGUCCUUGGUUGUCUAGGCUCAUUUCUUUUAGCCUAAAAUCUGGUCUGGAGUUUUUGGGCAGAGGAAAGAGGCUCUUGGAGAGGAGAGCACGAAAAUUCUAAGUGUCCAAAGGAUGGGAGAUGACUUGGUCUAGCAAGGGGGAGAAGAGUUGCUCUCUUGGAAGAAGAAGUUGAAGUGUCCAAAAGAGAUCUUCAAGAGUGAUAUGACAGAGGAAGAUGAAGCAGUAAAAUGCGAGGAUUUACGAGUGGGGAACCUGAAUGGGAAUUUCAGAUGUAUUUAAAAGUUAGUUUUUGUCAAAAUUGUAAUUGUGCUAUUUCCUCGGUAGAACUAGAGGAUGAAACUAUUUUAUUUGCAAAUGUUGAAUUCCAAUCAAAGGUAUAAGACGUCUUGUUUGGUUUUUUUAAAAAAAAAAAAUGUAUGUACGCUUCCGCACGCUUUUGGAAAA
Long non-coding RNA from Vigna radiata var. radiata (mung bean), 707 nucleotides. RefSeq lists it as uncharacterized. The record is from RefSeq and is a predicted model, not a curated record. NCBI's taxonomy places the organism in Eukaryota, Viridiplantae, Streptophyta, Magnoliopsida, Fabales, Fabaceae. The transcript has 2 exons.